GAUGAACGCUGGCGGCGUGCCUAAUACAUGCAAGUCGAGCGAACAGACGAGGAGCUUGCUCCUCUGACGUUAGCGGCGGACGGGUAAGUAACACGUGGAUAACCUACCUAUAAGACUGGGAUAACUUCGGGAAACCGGAGCUAAUACCGGAUAAUAUAUUGAACCGCAUGGUUCAAUAGUGAAAGACGGUUUUGCUGUCACUUAUAGAUGGAUCCGCGCCGCAUUAGCUAGUUGGUAAGGUAACGGCUUACCAAGGCAACGAUGCGUAGCCGACCUGAGAGGGUGAUCGGCCACAGUGGAACUGAGACACGGUCCAGACUCCUACGGGAGGCAGCAGUAGGGAAUCUUCCGCAAUGGGCGAAAGCCUGACGGAGCAACGCAGCGUGAGUGAUGAAGGUCUUCGGAUCGUAAAACUCUGUUAUUAGGGAAGAACAAAUGUGUAAGUAACUAUGCACGUCUUGACGGUACCUAAUCAGAAAGCCACGGCUAACUACGUG
Molecule: ribosomal RNA, 497 nt
Filed under: uncultured bacterium
Lineage: Bacteria
Description: partial 16S ribosomal RNA
Rfam family: Bacterial small subunit ribosomal RNA
Source: RNAcentral